RNAcentral lists this ribosomal RNA (470 nucleotides) under uncultured bacterium. Its description in RNAcentral is "bacterial SSU rRNA". It matches the Rfam family "Bacterial small subunit ribosomal RNA", at positions 915 to 1391 of the family's 1533-position model. The record is from RNAcentral.
GGGGACCCGCAAGCGGUGGAUGAUGUGGAUUAAUUCGAUGCAACGCGAAAAACCUUACCUACCCUUGACAUGUACGGAAUCCUCGAGAGAUCGGGGAGUGCUCGAAAGAGAACCGUAACACAGGUGCUGCAUGGCUGUCGUCAGCUCGUGUCGUGAGAUGUUGGGUUAAGUCCCGCAACGAGCGCAACCCUUGUCAUUAGUUGCUACGAAAGAGCACUCUAAUGAGACUGCCGGUGACAAACCGGAGGAAGGUGGGGAUGACGUCAAGUCCUCAUGGCCCUUAUGGGUAGGGCUUCACACGUCAUACAAUGGUACAUACAGAGGGCCGCCAACCCGCGAGGGGGAGCUAAUCCCAGAAAGUGUAUCGUAGUCCGGAUUGUAGUCUGCAACUCGACUGCAUGAAGUUGGAAUCGCUAGUAAUCGCGGAUCAGCAUGUCGCGGUGAAUACGUUCCCGGGUCUUGUACACACC